Molecule: ribosomal RNA, 456 nt
Filed under: Triticum aestivum (bread wheat)
Lineage: Eukaryota; Viridiplantae; Streptophyta; Magnoliopsida; Poales; Poaceae
Description: partial small subunit ribosomal RNA
Source: RNAcentral
AUGUCGCGAAAGGAAUACUCAUGGUUGAAGACUGACUAUGCUCCCUCGAGUACUACGCAGCAACAAACUCAGGAUAACUCAGUCGAGAACUUUAAAAGAGCAAACAAGAUUCUGGCUUCGGAGUCUGAGCCGGUUCAAAUAUGGGAUUUCUCUGCGCGAACAACCUUCAUAUGGAUGAAUGAAUGGAACCGUAUGCCCCAAGAUCCUCGGUCUAAGAUCCUCGGCCUUCUGACCAGGAGGCAACAGGUGAGGAUGGUGGCAGGAGGAUGUACCUGCGGCGUGAGGAGAUGGGUGCAGGAACAGCCGGCGCGCGGAGGUGGCUGGUUCCGACGGCCUCAGGUGAGGAUGGUGGCAGGAGGAUGUACCUGCGGCGUGAAGAGAUGGGUGCAGGAACAGACGGCCUUGGUGAGCAACACCAUGAGAGGAGAUGGGUGCAGGAACAGACGGCCUUGGUGA